CUGGAUCUGGAAAGCAGAUGAAGGAGAGAUUGACUCACUGGACUAUUUGAAAAUCAUGACCAAGAUAGCUUCUGGGAACCAUAAUUCAAGAAAUUAUAAACAAAAACAAGAGAUCCAAAAUCUCUUAAAAUCAGAGGCAAAUUAAAAACAAAAACAAGGUUACCUCCUGAAAAAAGCCCUCAACUAACUAAAAUAUCAUCAUAGCCAAAAUCUGGAGCAUCCAGGUUUAUUUUAAAAAUGCCCAAACAUCCAAAAACAAAGGAUUCAAACUGGAUCCAACCAUUCUGGAGAGCAGUUGGAACCACGCCCAGAGUCAUCAGACUGUGCGGACCCUUUGACCCACCAGGGUUUCUACUGGACCUGUAUCCCAAAGAGAUCUUAAAGACGGGAAAGGGACCCACGUGGGCAACAAGGUUUGCGGCGGCCCUGUUUGUGGUGGCAGGAAACUGGAAACUGAGCGGCUGCCCGUCAGCUGGAGAAAGGAUGCGGAAGUUACGGGAACGAAUGGGACGGACUAUCACUGUUCUCUAAAUGUCACAAGGACGAUUUCAGAGAGGCCGGGGGGGCCACGAACGCAGGCUAAGUGGUAAGGGUGGGGGAGGAGGAAGUACGGAGACCCAGACGCCUGAGGCACCGGAAGUAAUUUUUGCCGCCAGCCCGCGGGGCCUCUGGAGCGGGAACUCUGGUUGUGUGGAGACCGCCUCAGCCAGAGAAGGUCUCCUUCCCUCCCAGGCGGUGGGUCUGUGACCCCAUGGACCCUCUGUGAGCGGUGGGAAGCGGGAAGUGGGAGGAGUUCAUUAGGAGAAGUUCUGGAGGAGUCAGGAGGAGUUCACGCCGAGGCUGUUCAGUGGCGGCAGGGUGGGAGCCCAUGGAACGAGGACUUGGGCUUGCCAGCUGUCAGGGGCUCUGCUGAACCAGAACCGCUGCUCGGAGGCCUUGCGUGGGGAGACGCCCAAGACCAGGGGUUAGCAUGAUAAAUGGAAAUAUGUUUCGAAGAAUCAUACGUGUAUAAUCUAUACUGGAUUAUUUGCUGUCCACGGGAGGUGGAAAGUGAGUGGGUGAAAUGGAACACCAAGUUUUGCAGAAUUGGACGCCUUUGAGAGCAGAGACUCUUAAUAUCUUUGUACCCCUCUCGGCAACACAAGGGCUAAAAGAUUGAAUAAAUGCUUACUGAAUUCAGAAGCCCAGAAAAUAAGGCAAUGUCUCGGCUCAGGGAACCUCCUGACCUUUGAUUAGGGAAAAAUUCUUCCCCCUCCCCUAUCACAUUCCCAGACCAUGCUGAGAUCCUUGUGGGUUAGAGGCAGCAGGGAGGGCUUCCUGGAGAAAGCAGACCAAGUGAGGAGAUUACAGGAGCUCAGAAGAGGAUGAAGGAUGAAGAGCUGAAAAGAUGGGGGAAUGGAGGGAGAAGGAGAGAAGCCAGGGGGGUAGGG
This is a long non-coding RNA of Antechinus flavipes (yellow-footed antechinus), 1430 nucleotides long. RefSeq lists it as uncharacterized. The record is from RefSeq and is a predicted model, not a curated record. The transcript has 3 exons. Lineage: Eukaryota; Metazoa; Chordata; Mammalia; Dasyuromorphia; Dasyuridae.